AUACGUAUGGAGCAAGCGUUAUCCGGAUUUACUGGGUGUAAAGGGAGCGUAGACGGCAUAGCAAGUCUGAAGUGAAAUCCCAUGGCUUAACCAUGGAACUGCUUUGGAAACUGCCAGGCUAGAGUGCAGGAGAGGUAAGCGGAAUUCCUAGUGUAGCGGUGAAAUGCGUAGAUAUUAGGAGGAACACCAGUGGCGAAGGCGGCUUACUGGACUGUAACUGACGUUGAGGCUCGAAAGCGUGGGGAGCAAACAGGAUUAGAUACCCUGGUAGUCCACGCUGUAAACGAUGAUUACUAGGUGUUGGGGACCAAAGGUCCUCGGUGCCGCCGCAAACGCAUUAAGUAAUCCACCUGGGGAGUACGUUCGCAAGAAUGAAACUUAAAGGAAUUGACGGGG
Molecule: ribosomal RNA, 396 nt
Filed under: uncultured bacterium
Lineage: Bacteria
Description: partial 16S ribosomal RNA
Rfam family: Bacterial small subunit ribosomal RNA
Source: RNAcentral